CGUGUAGGCGGCUUCGUAAGUCUUGUGUGAAAGCCCUCGGCUCAACCGAGGAAUUGCACGAGAAACUGCGUGGCUCGAGUCCGGGAGAGGAUAGUGGAAUUCCCAGUGUAGCGGUGAAAUGCGUAGAUAUUGGGAGGAACACCGGUGGCGAAGGCGGCUAUCUGGACCGGUACUGACGCUGAGACGCGAAAGCCAGGGAGCAAACG
RNAcentral lists this ribosomal RNA (206 nucleotides) under uncultured bacterium. Its description in RNAcentral is "partial 16S ribosomal RNA". It matches the Rfam family "Bacterial small subunit ribosomal RNA", at positions 568 to 774 of the family's 1533-position model. The record is from RNAcentral.